CUACCGUUAGCUCAGUUGGUAUAGGGCAAAGGACUGUAGUUAUUACCAAAUCAGUAUUCCUUAGGUCACCGGUUCGAACCCGGUACGGUAGA
Molecule: transfer RNA, 92 nt
Filed under: Paramuricea clavata
Lineage: Eukaryota; Metazoa; Cnidaria; Anthozoa; Malacalcyonacea; Plexauridae
Rfam family: tRNA
About the family: Transfer RNA (tRNA) molecules are approximately 80 nucleotides in length. Their secondary structure includes four short double-helical elements and three loops (D, anti-codon, and T loops).
Source: Rfam by way of RNAcentral